ACUCCUACGGGAGGCAGCAGUGGGGAAUAUUGCACAAUGGGCGAAAGCCUGAUGCAGCAACGCCGCGUGAGUGAUGAAGGCCUUCGGGUUGUAAAGCUCUGUCUUUGGGGACGAUAAUGACGGUACCCAAGGAGGAAGCCACGGCUAACUACGUGCCAGCAGCCGCGGUAAUACGUAGGUGGCAAGCGUUGUCCGGAUUUACUGGGCGUAAAGGAUGCGUAGGUGGAUAUGCAAGUCAGAUAUGAAAUACCCGGGCUUAACUCGGGUGCUGCAUUUGAAACUAUAUAUCUAGAGUGCAGGAGAGGUAAGUGGAAUUCCUAGUGUAGCGGUGAAAUGCGUAGAGAUUAGGAAGAACACCAGUGGCGAAGGCGACUUACUGGACUGUAACUGACACUGAGGCAUGAAAGCGUGGGGAGCAAACAGGAUUAGAUACCCUGGUAGUCCACGCCGUAAACGAUGGGUACUAGGUGUAGGGGGUAUCGACUCCCUCUGUGCCGCAGUUAACACAAUAAGUACCCCGCCUGGGGAGUACGGUCGCAAGAUUAAAACUCAAAGGAAUUGACGGGGACCCGCACAAGCAGCGGAGCAUGUGGUUUAAUUCGAAGCAACGCGAAGAACCUUACCUAGACUUGACAUCUCCUGAAUAACCUAGAGAUA
This 657-nucleotide ribosomal RNA is filed under the name uncultured bacterium. RNAcentral's name for it is "bacterial SSU rRNA". It matches the Rfam family "Bacterial small subunit ribosomal RNA", at positions 335 to 1008 of the family's 1533-position model. The record is from RNAcentral.